CGAAAGUGUGUAUGUUAACGAGAUCAUAACGGCACGCGCCCCGAAGAGCAGCUCAACAGCUAUUUGAGAGCAUAUGAACAAGCUUUACGUGAAGAGCAAACACUCGAGAGAGUAAACUGCGAGGCGACCGGUAAGUUUAAAAGAAUCAUGUUUAAAAUAUAUAUACACACCUCACGUCAAAAAAUAAAUACUAAGUUCUCUAUUCUCUAAAAAAAAAA
Long non-coding RNA from Monopterus albus (swamp eel), 218 nucleotides. RefSeq lists it as uncharacterized. NCBI's taxonomy places the organism in Eukaryota, Metazoa, Chordata, Actinopteri, Synbranchiformes, Synbranchidae. The record is from RefSeq and is a predicted model, not a curated record. The transcript has 2 exons.